Molecule: RNase P RNA, 428 nt
Filed under: Duncaniella sp.
Lineage: Bacteria; Pseudomonadati; Bacteroidota; Bacteroidia; Bacteroidales; Muribaculaceae
Description: RNase P RNA component class A
Rfam family: Bacterial RNase P class A
About the family: Ribonuclease P (RNase P) is a ubiquitous endoribonuclease, found in archaea, bacteria and eukarya as well as chloroplasts and mitochondria.
Source: RNAcentral
GUAGCAGGACGGUCGUGUCGCUUGCCGAUGGGAUAACCGGAGCGGCAAGAGGAAAGUCCGGGCAACACAGAGCGCCAUACUUUCUAACAGUAAGCUGUCGGUGACGGCAGAGUAACGUGACAGAAAAUAACAACCUUUAUUCCUCAUGAUAAAGGAAAUGGUGAAAAGGUGGGGUAAGAGCCCACCGGAUAUCAUGGCGACAUGGUAUGCCGCACGUCUUAUGGGUUGCAAGGCCAUGUAUACCGGCACGUGGAUAGUUUCUUCGAGAAUGCCACAAUGGGCUGCUCGUCCAUCGCCGGGGGGUAGGCUGCUCGAGCGCCGUAGCAUAGCGAGGCGCCACUUAGAUAAAUGACAUGACCGCCGCGGCAACCUUCCUGUGGGAAGAAGUCCCGCGACGACAUAACCCGGCUUAUAGCCCUGCUACCUUU